This is a small nucleolar RNA of Telopea speciosissima, 87 nucleotides long. RefSeq annotates it as small nucleolar RNA U31b. The transcript has a single exon. NCBI's taxonomy places the organism in Eukaryota, Viridiplantae, Streptophyta, Magnoliopsida, Proteales, Proteaceae. The record is from RefSeq and is a predicted model, not a curated record.
GAACAUGAUGAAGUUAUUUGUCGCCCCAGUCUUACAUGCAUCUAUUGAUGCUUGCUGGUGAUUGACACCCUUAUUCACAUCUGAUUC